This is a long non-coding RNA of Oreochromis aureus, 1367 nucleotides long. Lineage: Eukaryota; Metazoa; Chordata; Actinopteri; Cichliformes; Cichlidae. The record is from Ensembl.
GGCGGACAUGCGAAAGUUCGCGCUGACGUCUAUUCCAACGUAGGAAGUGUUAUGAACAGCUGAUCGGAUCGGCAAAGCGUGUUUCUGGAAUAUUACGUUUUUGUUGCUGCAAGCGCUUUUUAUGCAGUUUUUGCAAAGCUAUAUGAGGAAGGAAACUGUGACCUAGGACAAGCUGAUGGCAUAAGAUAUGUCGUUGGUUGUGGUCUUCUUCUCCCUUCACGUCUUACUGGCUUCUGGAUUGAAAGAGCUCAGAGUGAGGCCUGGACAAGCUGCCACUCUUCAGUGUUGGGGUCCCAGAGAUGCACACAUCACCCUGCUGGAGUGGAGCAGACCUGAGCUCAUCUCACAGGGUUAUGUGUUCUUCUUCCAAGACCAGCGCUCAUACGAGAACUACCAGCACGAGUCCUUUAAACGCCGAGUGCAGCUGAGAGACUCAUCCAUGAUGGAUGGAGAUGUUACUGUGAUUGUGAGGAACGUCAGGGUCAGUGAUACGGGAAUAUACAAGUGUGAGAUUACAACCAGCAGCACCAGAAAUGACGAGAGAGUCGUCAGCGAGUUCAAGCACUCCAUCAACCUCACAGUCACAGACACAGGUUUCACAGAAGGAGAGUCCAAAGAAAGAGGACACAAGGAUGGAGGAGACAAGAAUCUAUCUUUUUUUAAUUUUGUGUUAAUUCUGUCAUGCGGACUCCUUGGUGUUAUGGUUAUUGUUACUGUAGCUGUAAAUAUCUACAGGAAAAAAAGUUUCUAAAGCUAUGUGUAUCAUCAUAGUAUCAUCUGUAUGUAGCAUUUCUCUUCUCUGAUCCUGUAAUCACAGUUACAACUUACAACAAUGUCAUGUUAGCAAGCAGACGAUACUAACAAAGUUGCUGUGGAUAUCAGAGUCACAAUAUUUUAUUAACACCUAAGAAAAUUAUAUUAGCACUAACCUCACAAAUGUGCUUCUGGAAGAAUGGUCAAAAUUCCCAACACACUCGUAAACCCUGAUAUGAAUAUCUAUCUAUCUAUCUAUCUAGCGUGGGAUAGACCCGCUCGCCUCGCAAGCAAUCGAGCUGUUAUUACCGUUGACAAAGCGCAGGUACACAGCUGCCAUAACCCCCACUGUACACUGACCUCAUUUACUGAGGUUAUAUUUACCGGGUUUUUAUUUCCUGAUGUUCGUAUGUGUCAUACCUGUUUCAGUCGCCAAAUCUGAAUUAUAACUAACAUUAAAAACAUGUUUAAGGAGGAGAGAGAGCAAAUAAAUCCGAUUAACAGCUGAUCUUUGGGUUUUUGUUCAGUAAUCAGCGUGACCUGUGUAUAAACGCAUAAAAGAGAAAACGUUGGUGUUUCCGUCAUGUAGUAACUGCUGGCUUUAACUGUACAAA